UGUUCUGUAGCUUAGUUGGUUAAAGCGUCGGUCUAGCGUACACAGAUUCGUGAGUUCGAGUCUCACUAGAACGC
Aedes aegypti (yellow fever mosquito) is the source of this 74-nucleotide non-coding RNA. The record is from Rfam. Lineage: Eukaryota; Metazoa; Arthropoda; Insecta; Diptera; Culicidae.